This 464-nucleotide ribosomal RNA is filed under the name uncultured bacterium. Its description in RNAcentral is "partial 16S ribosomal RNA". It matches the Rfam family "Bacterial small subunit ribosomal RNA", at positions 28 to 507 of the family's 1533-position model. The record is from RNAcentral.
GACGAACGCUGGCGGCGUGCUUAACACAUGCAAGUCGAACGGAAAGGCCCUGCUUGCAGGGUACUCGAGUGGCGAACGGGUGAGUAACACGUGGGUGAUCUGCCCUGCACUUCGGGAUAAGCCUGUGAAACUGGGUCUAAUACCUGAUAGGAGCCAUUUUUAGUGUGAUGGUUGGAAAGUUUUUUCGGUGUAGGAUGAGCUCGCGGCCUAUCAGCUUGUUGGUUGGGUAAUGGCCUACCAAGGCGGCGACGGGUAGCCGGCCUGAGAGGGUGGACGGCCACAUUGGGACUGAGAUACGGCCCAGUCUCCUACGGGAGGCAGCAGUGGGGAAUAUUGCACAAUGGGCGCAAGCCUGAUGCAGCGACGCCGCGUGGGGGAUGACGGCCUUCGGGUUGUAAACUACUUUCGAUAGGGACGAAGCUUUUGUGACGGUACCUAGACAAGAAGCACCGGCUAACUACGUG